UCCCAGGUGGCUCAGAGUAUAAAGCGUCUGCCUGCAAUGCGGGAGACCUGGGUUUGAUCCCUGGGUUGGGAA
Molecule: transfer RNA, 72 nt
Organism: Ovis aries (sheep)
Lineage: Eukaryota; Metazoa; Chordata; Mammalia; Artiodactyla; Bovidae
Rfam family: tRNA
About the family: Transfer RNA (tRNA) molecules are approximately 80 nucleotides in length. Their secondary structure includes four short double-helical elements and three loops (D, anti-codon, and T loops).
Source: Rfam